AUACGUAGGGUGCAAGCGUUAUCCGGAAUUAUUGGGCGUAAAGGGCUCGUAGGCGGUUCGUCGCGUCCGGUGUGAAAGUCCAUCGCUUAACGGUGGAUCCGCGCCGGGUACGGGCGGGCUUGAGUGCGGUAGGGGAGACUGGAAUUCCCGGUGUAACGGUGGAAUGUGUAGAUAUCGGGAAGAACACCAAUGGCGAAGGCAGGUCUCUGGGCCGUUACUGACGCUGAGGAGCGAAAGCGUGGGGAGCGAACAGGAUUAGAUACCCUGGUAGUCCACGCCGUAAACGGUGGAUGCUGGAUGUGGGGCCCGUUCCACGGGUUCCGUGUCGGAGCUAACGCGUUAAGCAUCCCGCCUGGGGAGUACGGCCGCAAGGCUAAAACUCAAAGAAAUUGACGGGGGCCCGCACAAGCGGCGGAGCAUGCGGAUUAAUUCGAUGCAACGCGAAGAACCUUACCUGGGCUUGACAUGUUCCCGACGGUCGUAGAGAUACGGCUUCCCUUCGGGGCGGGUUCACAGGUGGUGCAUGGUCGUCGUCAGCUCGUGUCGUGAGAUGUUGGGUUAAGUCCCGCAACGAGCGCAACCCUCGCCCCGUGUUGCCAGCGGAUUAUGCCGGGAACUCACGGGGGACCGCCGGGGUUAACUCGGAGGAAGGUGGGGAUGACGUCAGAUCAUCAUACCCCUUACGUCCAGGGCUUCACGCAUGCUACAAUGGCCGGUACAACGGGAUGCGACGCGGCGACGCGGAGCGGAUCCCUGAAAACCGGUCUCAGUUCGGAUCGCAGUCUGCAACUCGACUGCGUGAAGGCGGAGUCGCUAGUAAUCGCGAAUCAGCAACGUCGCGGUGAAUGCGUUCCCGGGCCUUGUACACACCGCCCGUCAAGUCAUGAAAGUGGGCAGCACCCGAAGCCGGUGGCCUAACCCCUUGUGGGAUGGAGCCGUCUAAGGUGAGGCUCGUGAUUGGGACU
Molecule: ribosomal RNA, 965 nt
Filed under: uncultured bacterium
Lineage: Bacteria
Description: bacterial SSU rRNA
Rfam family: Bacterial small subunit ribosomal RNA
Source: RNAcentral